Molecule: ribosomal RNA, 495 nt
Filed under: uncultured bacterium
Lineage: Bacteria
Description: partial 16S ribosomal RNA
Rfam family: Bacterial small subunit ribosomal RNA
Source: RNAcentral
GACGAACGCUGGCGGCGUGCCUAAUACAUGCAAGUAGAACGCAGAAGGAGGAGCUUGCUUCUCUGGAUGAGUUGCGAACGGGUGAGAAACGCGUAGGUAACCUGCCUGGUAGCGGGGGAUAACUAUUGGAAACGAUAGCUAAUACAGCAUAAUAGUAGUUGAUGCAUGACAUUUGCUAAAAAAGUGCAAUUGCAUUAUUACCAGUUGGACCCGCGUUGUAUUAGCUAGUUGGUGGGGUAAAGGCUCAACAAGGAGACGACACAUAGCCGACCUGCGAGGGGGGACGGCCACCACGGGACUGGGACACGGCCCCAGCUCCUACGGGGGGCAGCAGUAGGGGAAUUUUCGGAAAGGGGGGAAGUCUGAACGGAGAAAGCCGGGGGAAUGGAGAAGGUUUUCGGGUCGUAAAACUCCGGUGUUAGAGAAGAACGAGUGUGGUAGUGAACAGUUCACACUUUGACGGUAUCUUACCAGAAAGGGACGGCUAACUACGUG